ACCAACAUUGCCUUUUUCACACGCUUAGAAAGACACACAAAACAGAUUUCAUAAUCUCUUAAAUAAAGUGUAUCUGUAAGAAGCUUGGCAUUGCAUUCAAUAUUAUAACAAAUAAUUUACAUGCAUUCACGUCAUAAAAUGCUACAUAAUGAAUUAUUAAGCUGUCAUAAGGGGUCGUUAUUACAUCUUACCGACACUACAUUUGCUUUUAAUCAACCCGGUGCACAUAAGUUAUUCGGACAGUAAAGGUAAACUUUCUAACAGCUUGAUUUAAGCAGGCAAUUAUAACGGAAGGAACAGUUCUUUCCAGGAAUGUCUUAAUUGCAACCUGUGACAGGCGAACUAAAGAGAUCAUCACAGUAGAAGAAUAGAGGAAACAACAAUAGCUGUGUAUGAUAAAGUUACUUUGAGUCCAGCCAGGUUCACACUGACCAGGACAGUGGCCAGACACAUGGUGAAAGCUUGAACCGUUGAAACAAUGACAAGCAGAGGAGCAGUUCUCGCCAAAGUGCCCAUGAUCGCAAGCUAUGAAAGGCGCACGUGUCGGGACAUUUACAAUUUUUUUUUUACAAUACUCCCCUUGUCGACAAUGGCAGGAAAAAACACCAGGGUGCAGGAUCACGUGACUUUGUGGGAUUCCGCAUUAAACGUUAAUUGAUGUUAACAUAUCGUUGAUGUCCGACGGCUCUGAUUGGCGUUAUGGUAAGUUCUAUC
Dreissena polymorpha is the source of this 714-nucleotide long non-coding RNA. RefSeq lists it as uncharacterized. Lineage: Eukaryota; Metazoa; Mollusca; Bivalvia; Myida; Dreissenidae. The record is from RefSeq and is a predicted model, not a curated record. The transcript is spliced from 4 exons.